GUUCCACGGGUUCCGUGUCGGAGCUAACGCGUUAAGCAUCCCGCCUGGGGAGUACGGCCGCAAGGCUAAAACUCAAAGAAAUUGACGGGGGCCCGCACAAGCGGCGGAGCAUGCGGAUUAAUUCGAUGCAACGCGAAGAACCUUACCUGGGCUUGACAUGUUCCCGACAGCCGUAGAGAUAUGGCCUCCUUCGGGGCGGGUUCACAGGUGGUGCAUGGUCGUCGUCAGCUCGUGUCGUGAGAUGUUGGGUUAAGUCCCGCAACGAGCGCAACCCUCGCCCUGUGUUGCCAGCACGUCAUGGUGGGAACUCACGGGGGACCGCCGGGGUCAACUCGGAGGAAGGUGGGGAUGACGUCAGAUCAUCAUGCCCCUUACGUCCAGGGCUUCACGCAUGCUACAAUGGCCGGUACAACGGGAUGCGACACGGCGACGUGGAGCGGAUCCCUGAAAACCGGUCUCAGUUCGGAUUGGAGUCUGCAACCCGACUCCAUGAAGGCGGAGUCGCUAGUAAUCGCGGAUCAGCAACGCCGCGGUGAAUGCGUUCCCGGGCCUUGUACACACCGCCCGUCAAGUCAUGAAAGUGGGUAGCACCCGAAGCCGGUGGCCUAACCCUUUGUGGAUGGAGCCGUCUAAGGUGAGAC
Molecule: ribosomal RNA, 641 nt
Filed under: Bifidobacterium pseudocatenulatum
Lineage: Bacteria; Bacillati; Actinomycetota; Actinomycetes; Bifidobacteriales; Bifidobacteriaceae
Description: bacterial SSU rRNA
Rfam family: Bacterial small subunit ribosomal RNA
Source: RNAcentral